Molecule: ribosomal RNA, 1534 nt
Filed under: Clostridioides difficile
Lineage: Bacteria; Bacillati; Bacillota; Clostridia; Peptostreptococcales; Peptostreptococcaceae
Description: bacterial LSU rRNA
Rfam family: Bacterial large subunit ribosomal RNA
Source: RNAcentral
GAGGGACCACCCUCCAAGGCUAAAUACUACCUAGUGACCGAUAGCGUAUAGUACCGUGAGGGAAAGGUGAAAAGAACCCCGGGAGGGGAGUGAAAUAGAACCUGAAACCCUGCACUUACAAGCUGUGGAAGCACAUUUCUUGUGUGACCGCGUACUUUUUGUAGAACGGGCCAACGAGUUACGUUAAGUAGCAAGGUUAAGCACUUAAGGUGUGGAGCCGUAGCGAAAGCGAGUUUUAACUGAGCGUUCAGUUACUUGACGUAGACCCGAAACCGGGCGACCUACCCAUGAGCAGGAUGAAGCGAAAGUAAAAUUUCGUGGAGGUCCGAACCCACGAGCGUUGAAAAGCUCGGGGAUGACUUGUGGGUAGCGGUGAAAUUCCAAUCGAGCCCGGAGAUAGCUGGUUCUCCCCGAAAUAGCUUUAGGGCUAGCCUCAAGGUGAGAGAUACGGAGGUAGAGCACUGAAUGUCCUAGGGGGUAUUGCACCUACCGAAGACUAUCAAACUCCGAAUGCCGUCAUCUUAUACUUGGGAGUCAGACUGUGGGUGAUAAGAUUCAUAGUCGAAAGGGCAACAGCCCAGAUCGUCAGCUAAGGUCCCUAAAUGUAAGUUAAGUGGUAAAGGAUGUGGGAUUGCACAGACAACCAGGAUGUUGGCUUAGAAGCAGCCACUCAUUCAAAGAGUGCGUAAUAGCUCACUGGUCGAGUGAUCCUGCGCCGAAGAUUUCCGGGGCUAAAACUUACUACCGAAGCUACGGCAUCAGUAAUGAUGGGUAGGGGAGCUUCCCAUACGGGUUGAAGCAUGACCGUAAGGACAUGUGGACAGUAUGGGAGUGAGAAUGUUGGCAUGAGUAGCGAGAUGUGGGUGAGAAUCCCACAGGCCGUAAACCCAAGGUUUCCAGGGGAAGGUUCGUCCGCCCUGGGUUAGUCGGGACCUAAGCUGAGGCCGAAAGGCGUAGGUGAUGGACAACAGGUUGAUAUUCCUGUACUACCGAUAACCGUUUGAGAGAAGGGAUGACACAGUAGGAUAAGCUAAGCACACUGUUGGUUAUGUGUGCCCAAGCAUUGAGGCAGUCAAAGUAGGCAAAUCCGCUUUGAUAAUGCUGGGAUGUGAUGGGGAGCGAAAUUUAGUAGCGAAGUAGCUGAUUUCACACUGUCAAGAAAAGUCUCUAUCGAGGUUAAAGGUACCCGUACCGCAAACCGACACAGGUGGGUGAGGAGAGUAUCCUAAGGCCAGCGAGAGAACUGUUGUUAAGGAACUCGGCAAAAUGACCCCGUAACUUAGGGAUAAGGGGUGCCACCAUCAGGUGGCCGCAGAGAAUAGGCCCAAGCGACUGUUUACCAAAAACAUAGGUUUCUGCUAAGUCGCAAGACGAUGUAUAGGAGCUGACGCCUGCCCGGUGCUGGAAGGUUAAGGGGAUCUGUUAGAGCAAUCGAAGCAGUGAACUUAAGCCCCAGUAAACGGCGGCCGUAACUAUAACGGUCCUAAGGUAGCGAAAUUCCUUGUCGGGUAAGUUCCGACCCGCACGAAAGGCG